This is a long non-coding RNA of Populus euphratica (Euphrates poplar), 367 nucleotides long. RefSeq lists it as uncharacterized. NCBI's taxonomy places the organism in Eukaryota, Viridiplantae, Streptophyta, Magnoliopsida, Malpighiales, Salicaceae. The transcript has 2 exons. The record is from RefSeq and is a predicted model, not a curated record.
GCCGCCACGAAAUCCAAAAAGUGUGGGGAGAUCCGUAAUGGCUUCCUUCCCUCUUUACCCUCCUGUAGGCUAUAAACAACGUUGUUACCUGCAAAACACCCAAAAACACACAUAAGCAAGUUUGUUUUAACUUUUUCUUUCAUUGUUUUUAGAUUUGUUUGUGUUUUGUUUUCCAUCUGUUGUUCUUCCUUCUUCUCAAGUGGCCGACCUGCUGUGGAGUGAGGAGUGGCUCACCAGCGACUUGCACUGUCAGAUACCAGCUGGAUUGGGUAGAUCGUUGACUCCUCCUUCUUCUUUGGUCGGCGUUGAGGCAAGCAAGGGUCUAAGGAGGGGGAACGGACCACAUUAAGCUCAGUCCCUUCUCCUC